This 229-nucleotide ribosomal RNA is filed under the name Salmonella enterica subsp. enterica. Its description in RNAcentral is "partial 23S ribosomal RNA". It matches the Rfam family "Bacterial large subunit ribosomal RNA", at positions 416 to 642 of the family's 2925-position model. The record is from RNAcentral. Lineage: Bacteria; Pseudomonadati; Pseudomonadota; Gammaproteobacteria; Enterobacterales; Enterobacteriaceae.
GGCGGGACACGUGGUAUCCUGUCUGAAUAUGGGGGGACCAUCCUCCAAGGCUAAAUACUCCUGACUGACCGAUAGUGAACCAGUACCGUGAGGGAAAGGCGAAAAGAACCCCGGCGAGGGGAGUGAAAAAGAACCUGAAACCGUGUACGUACAAGCAGUGGGAGCACAGGUUUACCUGUGUGACUGCGUACCUUUUGUAUAAUGGGUCAGCGACUUAUAUUCUGUAGCA